AAUUGUAACCCUGUCGUGUAAUGUUGUCAUUUUAAUGUUAUAAUUAACACUUCCAUUAAAGCGGGAGGUUUGGCAUGCCACAAAACCAGGUUCAACCCACCAUUUUUUCAUAAAAUGCCCUGUACCAAGUCAGGAAAAUGGUCAUUGUUACAUCAUUGUUCGUUUCUGUGUAUGUUACAUUUCGGUGUUGUGUCUCUGUUGUGUCGUGGUUCUCUUAUACUUGAUACGUUUCCCUCAGUUUUAG
This 244-nucleotide long non-coding RNA is filed under the name Mytilus galloprovincialis (Mediterranean mussel). Lineage: Eukaryota; Metazoa; Mollusca; Bivalvia; Mytilida; Mytilidae. The record is from RNAcentral.